RNAcentral lists this ribosomal RNA (702 nucleotides) under Dactylogyrus suchengtaii. RNAcentral describes it as "LSU rRNA". It matches the Rfam family "Eukaryotic large subunit ribosomal RNA", at positions 118 to 628 of the family's 3401-position model. The record is from RNAcentral. Lineage: Eukaryota; Metazoa; Platyhelminthes; Monogenea; Dactylogyridea; Dactylogyridae.
AGUCUAUUCACGUUUGUGGACAGGACAAUGUGGUGUUUAGGUGUGUACCUGGGAGCGCUGGCCUACUCGAAGUCCAACUCCGAUUAUGGCUAGGACCAUGCCCAGAGCGGGUGAAAGUCCCGUUCGGGUAGGUUGAUUGCAAUAUGGAGCGCUCCUCAGAUGUACAUACCUUCGAGUCGGAUUGCUUGAGAAUGCAGUCCAAAGUGGGUGGUAAACUCCAUCCAAGGCUAAAUACUGGCACGAGUCCGAUAGUAGACAAGUACCGUGAGGGAAAGUUGAAAAGUACUCUGAAGAGAGAGUAAAUAGCACGUGAAGCCGCUUGCAGGGAAGCUGGUGGAGUCAAGCUUCAUGUUUGGAGGAUUGUCAUCAGGACUACCGAUGUUGUUUGGGACGUGAUAUUGAUGAGCCUGGAAAGGGUUUGGCGUGCUUCGGUGCGUUUCAAGUCAUUCUGGGUAGAGUGUUUGUGUCAGUAUCUAUCUCCCUGGUCCUGGUGCCUUAUUCUCUAGGCAUACAUCACAGUCAAUAAUGGUUCGUGCUGUGUGAUCGUUUAACUGUGCUUUGGCGGGCAUUCGUGUCUGCCGGGUGCGGAAUGGCAGGUAGCUUGUGCGGGCCUUGUGUUCGUAUCUUGCUUAUGUUGAUUUCGAUCUGCUAGCGAUCAUGUGCAAAUUUAACAGUAUCGGCCUUAUUGCUCUAAUGCGGCGU